RNAcentral lists this unclassified non-coding RNA (380 nucleotides) under uncultured Pseudobdellovibrionaceae bacterium. Its description in RNAcentral is "uncultured Bdellovibrionaceae bacterium contains 16S-23S intergenic spacer region". The record is from RNAcentral. Lineage: Bacteria; Pseudomonadati; Bdellovibrionota; Bdellovibrionia; Bdellovibrionales; Pseudobdellovibrionaceae.
UCCAGUUUAACACUGGCAGUCCCUCUAGAGUGCCCAACUUAAUGAUGGCAACAAGAGGCGUGGGUUGCGCUCGUUACGGGACUUAACCCAACAUCUCACGACACGAGCUGACGACAGCCAUGCAGCACCUGUCUCUCAGUCCCCUUGCGGGGAAAGCCAACUUUCGAUGGCGGUCCGAGGAUGUCAAGACCAGGAUAAGGUUCUUCGCGUUGCGUCGAAUUGAACCACAUGCUCCACUGCUUGUGCGGGUCCCCGUCAAUUUCUUUGAGUUUUAAUCUUGCGACCGUACUCCCCAGGCGGGAUGCUUAACGCGUUAGCUUCGUUACUGGAAGGGUUAACUCUUCCAACAACAAGCAUCCAUCGUUUACGGCGUGGACUAC